RNAcentral lists this ribosomal RNA (490 nucleotides) under uncultured bacterium. RNAcentral's name for it is "partial 16S ribosomal RNA". It matches the Rfam family "Bacterial small subunit ribosomal RNA", at positions 30 to 507 of the family's 1533-position model. The record is from RNAcentral.
AUUGAACGCUGGCGGCAGGCCUAACACAUGCAAGUCGAACGGUAACAGGAAGAAGCUUGCUUCUUUGCUGACGAGUGGCGGACGGGUGAGUAAUGUCUGGGAAACUGCCUGAUGGAGGGGGAUAACUACUGGAAACGGUAGCUAAUACCGCAUAACGUCGCAAGACCAAAAAGGGGGACCUUCGGGCCUCUUGCCAUCGGAUGUGCCCAGAUGGGAUUAGCUAGUAGGUGGGGUAACGGCUCACCUAGGCGACGAUCCCUAGCUGGUCUGAGAGGAUGACCAGCCACACUGGAACUGAGACACGGUCCAGACUCCUACGGGAGGUAGCAGUGGGGAAUAUUGCACAAUGGGCGCAAGCCUGAUGCAGCCAUGCCGCGUGUAUGAAGAAGGCCUUCGGGUUGUAAAGUACUUUCAGCGGGGAGGAAGGGAGUAAAGUUGAUACCUUUGCUCAUUGACGUUACCCGCAGAAGAAGCACCGGCUAACUCCGUG